Molecule: non-coding RNA, 3105 nt
Organism: Rattus norvegicus (Norway rat)
Lineage: Eukaryota; Metazoa; Chordata; Mammalia; Rodentia; Muridae
Source: RefSeq, a predicted model, not a curated record
AGAAAAUCUACCAAGAGAAAGGUUAGCUGUAUUACUGUUAGCUCUGUGGGAUGCCACUUGUCUUAAUGAUCAAUUUACUGGUGUGACACGUAGCGGAGAUCCUAGGCAAACUGCAGGCAGUGCCAUCUUACAAGCAAUUGAUUGUCAAACUUAAGCAAGUCAAGAUCCCACAGAAAGCAGGGAACUGGGGAUGGAGGGUGGGGUGGAGCGAACAAAUGAAUCUGUGUGCUUACCCAAAAUAUAUUAUUUAUGAAAAAAAUAAAUCAAAGCCUUUCAUCUUCUGGGCUGGUGGACAGACUGAGUCCAAUGCCCAGAAGCCACACAGUAGAACUAGAGCCGAGCAAAUGCCUCUCAGGCCCCCACAUGCACACAUGUGGGCACAUAAAAACAACGAAUGAAUGUGAGUUUUUCUAAGUCAGAAACACAAAGCUCUUCGGUAUUCAGGAAGCUUUAGCUCUAUGUCAUUCCAAUCCGGGGUUUUUACGCUGAGGGCAGCUUGAUCCCUCCUGGGAAUAUUCAGUAGGGCCUGGAGACAUUUUGGUUGUCACAACAUAUAAGGGUCCUGACACAUGUCCUCUUCUGCCAAGAACCUAUGACCAAGAAUCCCCUCGCCCGAUCGGUGGUGCCUGGGCUGAGAAACCCUUUCUCGAGUCAGUUUUCAUUAACUAAGUGUGGUUUCUUUUUAUAUUCCCCAUCUUGUCUCAUUCUCACAAACCUUCACUAGAUGCUCACGGAAUGCUGGCCUUUGCACAAGGGCAUGUGAUUGCCCUUACUUUCUGGCCUUGGUUCCUCUGCACACCAAGGAAGCCUAUAGCACUAACUGUCCCUGAGGCCCAUGGGAAGGGGGACGAGUCAUUAUCACCCUGCUUUGAGGAGCCUCCACCAGCCUGUCUCUACAGACUGACAAGAAUAUAGCGCUUGAGGACAUUUUAAACACAUUUAAACACUUUACCCCAAAGUGUGCACAGUGUCUUUUUAAAUCUCCAGCUUUCAUAUUUUGAUUGACAAGGAGAAAUAGUUUUGAGCAAAUAACUACUGCUUCUAAGUCUUUUCUAAGUAUCUCUAGUAUUUGUAAUUAUGUUUAUUAUGUGCGGAGGGAGGUUCUGGGCCAGCAGAGGCGACAGAUCUCCCCACGAUGGUAUCAGGGAUGAUGAAUGGAACCCAGGACCUGAACUCAGGUCGUCUGCAAGCACGGGAAGCACCUUUAACCACUGGACCAUCUCUCCAGUUCCCUGAGUCAAAAUGUGCCCCCUAGGGUCAAGCCAGAGGAAAUUCCCUGAAGAGAGCCUUCAGGUCUAACUUUAACACCAGCAGGUGAACAGCAUAAAACACAGCAAAGCCUAAAACUCCCUAGGCUUUGCAGUUGUCUCCUGCUCGCAGCAAGCCGGGCUCCACUCCUGACAGGACAGGAAGGCAGGCUGAGACAGAGCUCAUUCUAACGUCUGUCCUGACAUCAGGUUCGCUUGGUGAGUAGCAGUGGAAGACUCGAACAGUUCUGUACAACCGUAACUCUCUCCUCCCUUUCAACACUAAAGGUGACUAAGUCAUCAGUGCUCCCUCCAUACAGAUGCUGUCCAGAGCCUUCCUAGGAGGAAUGAACCAAGUUACCCAGCAGACACGUGGAUGCAUGCGCAGCUAUGUAAUGAGAAUGCAAACAGACAGACACCAACGAACAGAGAAAUGAACUAGAAAAGGAAGAAUUUUCUCUCAACAGAAAGCCAAAGAAAUGGUGUGUUUGAAAACCGCCUGCCAUCAAACCAUAAUCUAAUGAAGAUCACCAGGGCUGCCAGAAACGCAAGCGAAAGCUAUGCAGAAAACGUUGCUCACAGAGCUGUGAUUUGGAAGGGUAAAAGUGACCCAGGAAAACAUCCAUUUGCUAAUUAUAGAAGGAAUGCUUCAUUUGCUGCGGUCUAUGAUUAGCACAUUAGCUAGGAAAGUAUUUUAGUCGGUGUGGGGAGUGCACACGGUCAGUCCUAAGCACUCGGAAGGCUGAAUCAGGAGGCUCACAAGUCUGAGGCCAGCCUGGGCUACAUAGUUACUUCUUGACCAGUCUCUGCCAUAGAGUAAAAUCUUCCACCAUUAAAAUAAAUUUUUAAUAGCAUUUUGAGGAAUAGUGAUGCCAGACAUUUCAGUGUGCACCUUUUAUCCCAGCCUCCUAGAGCCUGAGGGAAGUGGAUCUGUGAAUUCAAGGCAGUCUGGUCCACAUAGCAAGAAUCUAGUCACUGUCUCAAAAACCAAAAAAGGUAAAAUGAUAAGGUAAAAAUGCUCAAUAGUAUAAUUUCAAGAAGUAUUUGUUUUAAAAAGAGGAGAAGGAAACAAGAAAAGGAGAACAGCAAUCACUAGGUGAUUUCCUUUUAGUUGUAUCAUUCUGUAAUUUUAAAUGCUACACUGUGACAAAAUACACCAGUGUUCUCAGCAGGAGAGGGAGAAACACAGAACCGUAACAAUAAGGGCAGGUGUUGAUACUAAGAUAAAGGCAUGCCUGUCGGGCUCUGUGCAGAGAACGUGAAGCUGAGUCUAAAGCACGGAUGUAGAAAGCCCUGGAGCCCCCGCACUGGUAUAAAAACAGGGAAGAAGUCCAUCAGCAGAGGCAGGAGCACCAAAGCCCAAAAGGCCCAGGAAGGGAGUGCUCAGACACUCUCCAGGUUUGCCCUUACUCAGCUUUCCUCCCAGUUAUCAUUCAGAUGCAAGAACAAGGAUCGUUUGAGCAGCUCACAGAUUCCCCAGGGGCCAUCUAAAGUCAAGCAUUGGUUAUAUCAUAAGCAUGCUGAAAUAAAAGUUAAAAUGUAUUUACUUUACAACAUUUAUUCCUGUGUAUGUGUGUAUAUGUUUGUAGGUCACAGGACAAUGUGGGAACUGAUUUACCCUGUACACCAUGUGGGACCUGGGAAUUGAACCAGGGCUGUUAGACUUGGCAUCAAGCUUCUUUUACCCACUGAGCCAUUUUGCUGGCUCAAAAGUUAAAAUUUAAUCCCAUAUGAACGCUUUCAAAUGAUACAGGUUCUUCUUCGCCUCUACUGAUAAAAUGUAUGUGCAGCUGAAAUGUAUCAGCACACGCUGUCAAAAUCAAAUCCAGCAAUUAAUAAAGAUGCAAUUAUAAUCCAC